Long non-coding RNA from Bombus huntii, 2495 nucleotides. RefSeq lists it as uncharacterized. The record is from RefSeq and is a predicted model, not a curated record. The transcript is spliced from 3 exons. NCBI's taxonomy places the organism in Eukaryota, Metazoa, Arthropoda, Insecta, Hymenoptera, Apidae.
GAAAAGGAGAAGAGAGUGGCGUAGAGAGGGUGUUUCGGCGCUGGUUUAAACGCGACGCAUGCGUUCCCCACGCGAGAGGAUGUCCGGGGUGAGCCGUCGCCGUACUCUGGCCGACGUAUCGCAGUUUCUAGCUCGAUGUUUGUCCGCGUGGUACUCCCAGGGACGGUGCUGCUCGUCCCAACCACGAGGGUGUCGGAAUACAAAACACCCCGAGAGACUACGCAAUUCGGACCGCUUUGAGCUCGACGAGGAAACGAGAGAAUACGCGCGGCACACGGACAGCUUACGAGUCGAGAAGAAAGUACUUGUAUCGAUACAUCCGGCAACGAGAUCUUCGACGCUUGCGCUCCUGGGCCAACCGACCAAAACUUGCCACCGGUUUCUUUCUUUUUCCUACUUCGGCGCCAAGCUCGGACCCUUCGUCGUUCAACUAUGGAACUCGCAAGGCCCCUGGGAGCACGGCAAGCUUCUACCCGAAGUAAACAGUUCGACAAGGAAACCCUCGCCGUCACCGUGAUACUAUUUUCGACCGGGAAGGAAGGAACCAGCGGACUUUGAGUCAGAGAUAUAAACAGGUCAACGUAACUUGGCAACGGAAUCGUUGAGAAGAACGGGAAAGGACGAGGAGAAAAGAUGGAGAAAGACGAGCACCGUAGCGUAUCUCCGGAGGGAAAAGCGUGUUUCUUUGCUCCUGGUGAUAAUAAAAAAUUCCAAGGCAAAAAACUGCAACUUUGCCCGGUCUUCCGUUCGCGGAGAAGCCAAAUGAACAAGGAAAAACGAAAGCAAGAAACAGAAGAAAAGAAAGAGAUAAGAGAAGGAAGAAUGGGCUAGUGUUUAUCGUGCGAUUGCCGAAGGCGGCUAUUUUGCCGCUGCACUGUCACCGCGUCGUAACGGAAAUAAAAGAAAAACAUACUUUCGCAGUUUCCAUCGCUUUUCUCUAAACUACCACGGAGCCAUUAUCCGAGCUACGCUCCCGCAGCAUUUUAUUCCGUGUCUAACUUACUUUUCGUGCUUUAAACCGAAUAAUUGAACCAGGCUACCGAAUCAUUCGCAUUUCAAAGUACGUACUUUCGCUAGAGCACUCGCUACAUUUUCUAUUUAUUACUCCACUGAUAUUUGGAAAUAGAAUAUUUCCAUUAAGAUGACAGUUUUAUUCAGCCGUUAACGAGGUUCGCGCUAAGUUUUAUAUGUCAACGAAAUUAAGAAUUAUACCGAUGUUCGGGAAAUUGUUAUUGAUCGUGAAAGCAUAAAAGUUAGAUUAACUGGAAGCUAAUCGAGAACGUCGCGACGCCAAACAAUUUCAAUUUUGCAAUCCACUCUGACCUGAUUCUAAAGAUAGAGGUGGCCUCUUUGCCCUCUCGCCUCAUUCUACGAGCAACUGAUAUCGAUACAUUGAACGUAAACGUGUCUACGGCGUGGCACAUACUACGAAACUCGAUACACGAGAAAAGGAAAACGCGAAGAAGGAUGCUACGAGAGAGAAGCUGCCUCGAAGGACUAGGAAUACGACUAUCACCUUCUCCUUUUCCACUUCUUCGCUACUGGAUAACAGACACGAGGCUCUAAGAACGCGCGAAGGAAGCAAAUAGAAGGAAAAUAGAACCGGAACGCACAAGUGACGAAGAUGUUGGAUAAAAGCAUCAUGAUUUAGUAAUGGCCUCGCUUUUACCUAUUCUCUGUGCACUCAUAGUCUACUUAUAAACCAAAAUAGUAGCUUCGUGUCUUACAGUUUCCCUUAUUGUACCAUAAGGCAUAACAUCGAAACUUUCAGAUCUCACGAGACAGUCUCGGUAUAAUCUGAGUAGGAAAUAUCACGUUAAUGUAUCGCGAUAAUAUCACGUUUGUCUCUUUUUUUGUACGAUCACGUGGCGUUAAUCAAGUAAAAUUACGAGAUUUUUAACAAGAAAAUAUUUUUAUUAAAUAAAAGCGUUCUACAUAUUUGAACGCUCGAAACAAAAUCCUUCGGCUCAUAUUCGCGCGAUUAACAAUGAACCCAUGGCUCUUCUUGUCACGGACGCAAACUUCCAUAGUGAGAAAUGAACACGCUUUAGGUGUCUGAACUUUGAUGUACGCUGCGGGUUCCUGUCUAGCUAUACGUAUGGUGCACAAAUUCAAAUAUCGGUGCACGCACAGCUCCGUUUAUGAAGGAAAUAGAGAAGACUAAUAAAGAUCGCAGCAGGGCGCCUAAUAAACUCUCAGCGUAUUAUGUGAUCCUGUAAUCCUACGUUCCCCUCGUAUUUGCAACUUACGUUUCAAUCAUUGAAAGAUAUCGCAUCCCAGUUCCGAUAUAUAAUAAAAUAUUUUACUAGUGUACAAGGAAACUAACAAGAAAUAAUUCGUACUGGACAGAGUGGAAAAAAGAAUCAAACGUUGUAAAAUAUUACGUUAUAAAGUACUGCGUUGUAAAAUUAUAGCACAAGAUUACCGAAACGUGUAAUACGAAAUUUAAAUGGAUUUGAAUCUUUUAUAAAAUUCCUCUUUGUUAAAAAUGGAAU